RNAcentral lists this ribosomal RNA (251 nucleotides) under uncultured prokaryote. RNAcentral describes it as "partial 16S rRNA". It matches the Rfam family "Bacterial small subunit ribosomal RNA", at positions 525 to 775 of the family's 1533-position model. The record is from RNAcentral.
ACGGAGGGUGCAAGCGUUAUUCGGAAUCACUGGGCGUAAAGCGUGCGCAGGCGGCCCUGCAAGUCUGAUGUGAAAGCCCCGGGCUUAACCCGGGAAGUGCAUUGGAAACUGCAGGUCUUGAGUACUGGAGAGGAUGGGGGAAUUCCCGGUGUAGAGGUGAAAUGCGUAGAGAUCGGGAGGAAUAUCAGUGGCGAAGGCGCCCAUCUGGACGGUAACUGACGCUGAGACGCGAAAGCGUGGGGAGCAAACAG